UGACCUCGGAUCAGGUAGGUUCCCAAGUUCC
This 31-nucleotide ribosomal RNA is filed under the name Pseudocercospora borreriae. RNAcentral's name for it is "partial 28S ribosomal RNA". The record is from RNAcentral. Lineage: Eukaryota; Fungi; Ascomycota; Dothideomycetes; Mycosphaerellales; Mycosphaerellaceae.